RNAcentral lists this ribosomal RNA (523 nucleotides) under uncultured marine bacterium. Its description in RNAcentral is "bacterial SSU rRNA". It matches the Rfam family "Bacterial small subunit ribosomal RNA", at positions 8 to 526 of the family's 1533-position model. The record is from RNAcentral.
AGAGUUUGAUCCUGGCUCAGAUUGAACGCUGGCGGCAUGCCUUACACAUGCAAGUCGAACGGCAGCGCGGGAGCAAUCCUGGCGGCGAGUGGCGAACGGGUGAGUAAUACAUCGGAACGUGCCCAAUCGUGGGGGAUAACGCAGCGAAAGCUGUGCUAAUACCGCAUACGAUCUACGGAUGAAAGCAGGGGAUCGCAAGACCUUGCGCGAAUGGAGCGGCCGAUGGCAGAUUAGGUAGUUGGUGAGGUAAAGGCUCACCAAGCCUUCGAUCUGUAGCUGGUCUGAGAGGACGACCAGCCACACUGGGACUGAGACACGGCCCAGACUCCUACGGGAGGCAGCAGUGGGGAAUUUUGGACAAUGGGCGCAAGCCUGAUCCAGCCAUGCCGCGUGCAGGAUGAAGGCCUUCGGGUUGUAAACUGCUUUUGUACGGAACGAAACGGCCUUUUCUAAUAAAGAGGGCUAAUGACGGUACCGUAAGAAUAAGCACCGGCUAACUACGUGCCAGCAGCCGCGGUAAUAC